Durio zibethinus is the source of this 559-nucleotide non-coding RNA. NCBI's taxonomy places the organism in Eukaryota, Viridiplantae, Streptophyta, Magnoliopsida, Malvales, Malvaceae. The record is from RefSeq and is a predicted model, not a curated record.
GUGGUCGUUUAAAAUAACCAAAUCUCCCAAGUUGACCACAAGUGUCAUCAUGGAUUUAAAACAUCCUGUGCCUGCCAUAACAGAGGAACCCCAACAAGUUCAGAAUAAUACAACAGAAGGUUUCACCACAAUGGAAGAAAUAGUUGAUAAUCAGUCCACCUGCAAUGAUAUAGUUUGGAUUCAUUGGAAAGAUCGAAUACCUCUAUAUAUGACUCUGGGAGAAACAAGGAUAAUGUUACGCAAGUGAAAAUUUCAGGAGAAACUUGUUAGCUAAACAGGUGGUUGAUACUUGAUUGUACUUAUCAUCGUUUGAGCUUUCUGUUUUAUGGCACCGUCAACUGAUCGGAACUCUAUUUUUUCAAUUUUGCUUUGCAAUGAAGAACUAAUUUGCUUUACAUUUCAUCGCAUUUUCGUGUUUGAUAUUGUGAAUAAAGUCAUGUUUAGCCAUUCCUUUAAGAUAAAUUUCAUGUAUUGUUUUAUUUGGACUCGAACUCGAGCUUACAUGUCUCAUAAAUCCUCUUCUUAUCACAUUGUUAGCAAAAUUCAUGUACUCUAAAGA